AGAGUGCGCCGCAACUAUAAAAAGACAGCAUCAAUGGAACCCCGAUUCGACGACUCACCGUGGUGACGGGGAAGCGGAGAGCUACGUUUUUUUCACACCACUUGAACUGGACAUCUUAAUGCGUUCAUAUGGUGACUUCGAACACGUUUUUAGAAAGAAGUGCAACACCUGCAGCUGCAAAAGAGACGGAGACGGCGUGGGAGAACAUUGCUGCCCGAGUCAAUGCGUAAGUUUAAAUCACAAUAAUAUUACAGGGAAACUGUUUAAUAGCAGCCUGUUCUGUUAUUUCAUUUAGGUGCAAUCCUGCAGGGGAGAAGCGCAUGUAACAGCAGCUGAAGAUGAAAUAUAAGAACAUUGUUCAAACGGCCAACAGAAAGAAAGCAGAUGCCUGUAAAAAGGGAGGAGGCCCAGCAGCACCACCUGUAACGGAGGCAGAGGAGCUGGUCCUAAGCCAGAAUUUGGGAAGGCCAGUGGCUGAGGGAAUCCCUGGAGGGAGCUCAUCCUCUGAGACCACAUCCCAAGACACAAGUGUGUGUGUGCGCGCGCGUGUGUGUGUGUGUGUGUGUGUGUGUGCUCAUGCGCCCACUGAACAUUUGCCAUAAGGAAGCACAGAGCACUGCAUUGUUUCUGCGUACGAGCGAGUGUGUGUGCAGCCACAGCGAUGGCAUGCGUGAAGGGGUGUGCUUUAAAGAUGGUGAGUUUAAUUAGAGAUGAAAGGGCUGAUGUGUCAUACCCACAGCUUAAUGCUGUGGGCUGUGGCAGUGCUCUCUCCUCCUCCGGCUCUGCUUUCUCUCUCUCUCCUCUAGGUUGGUGGCAGCUCUGGUCUGGUGGCAGGUGUGGCGCAUUAAUAAUCAGCAGGUCGUGUGCAGGUGGGAGCCAGCAGCUUGAUUCCGGCAGCUUUAACAACCGUCGCCACUCGUCGUUUGAUGCCGGACUGUCCUCGUCCAACAAAGCUGACUCUCGCCGGCUUGUGAUCUUGGACUCUGCUGGUUCCAUCCUGGUUUUUCUGGCCUUCAUUCCUCCGUGGAUUUCGCUUUGCCCUCUGGAGGGAUAAAACCCAUCUGAGCCGAAAGAACUGUCCGUUCCUCCCAAGACGCGGAACCAUCUGCGCUAUUGCCGGACGCCUUCCUCCAUGCAGUGUGUGUUGGGACUGGAGCAUUCGCUGGAGGAGUGGAUUGAGAGGAACCCCUGCCCUAGUCGAGCACUCCUUCAGUUUGUCAGCCAAGUCUUUAGCCCUAGCGUCACCAGACUACGAGUUUGUGAUUGAGAAUUAAUGUGUGUACGUUGAGUCCGGGCUUUCUGUACAGGUUACGGUAGACCAGGUAUUUGGGUUUUUUUUUGUGUUUAGGUGUUGCGUUGUAUUCCUGCCCUGGUGUUACUAGCAGUGGGUUUACUUAAUUUCUGUUUCUUUGUAUUAGUUAUAGUUUGCCGAGCCACGAGAGGCGGUCUCGAUCUGUUCCCCGCUUGAGUAGGUACUUUGCUAGUUCCUGUUCCUUGUUGGGAUUUGUAGUCCUAAGUUUUCUCGUGUGUAAAUAAAAGCAUUGUAACAGUA
Molecule: long non-coding RNA, 1552 nt
Organism: Amphiprion ocellaris (clown anemonefish)
Lineage: Eukaryota; Metazoa; Chordata; Actinopteri; Pomacentridae
Exons: 3
Source: RefSeq, a predicted model, not a curated record